GACUCGGUGGUGAAUUGUAUUACAUCCACUUCAAAUGAUCAAACGAUAUUUGACGAAAUCAGUGGAAAUCGCCCGUUCGACUCGGGUCCGAGUCA
This is a non-coding RNA of Mycena polygramma, 95 nucleotides long. NCBI's taxonomy places the organism in Eukaryota, Fungi, Basidiomycota, Agaricomycetes, Agaricales, Mycenaceae. The record is from the annotation of a GenBank genome assembly.